CAAAUUCCAUAUCAAUAAUUGGUAACCAAGUAGGACGUGACUCGGAGAUGAUCGAUGACAUGUAAAGUCAUGCUCAAGCAUUUGUUAAAUUGAUAUCGUUCUAGUAGUAUAUAUGGUAUGGGAAUACUAGUAGUUAGUAAUACUAAUACAGCUGCUAGCUAGCUUAUGGUCAACAUGUCUGGCUGAGCGUUGUACCAAAAUAAUAAUAUCAGAGAAGUGAUACCGCCGCAGGCUACAUUUGAAACCAAGUUUCAACUUCGAAGAAGCCUACCAAGCAUGUUACCAUCAACAUUUAUAGAUCAUACAACUUCAGCAACUACCUCAGCUCCAUAUAUUGUUCCAUUACAAUAAUUCACAGGCGGCCCCCAAACCCGAACUAUAUAUAAUAUCUGGCCACCUAAGCCAAAGAAUACACACACAUCAGAAUAUACAGACAUGAGAUAUUUAGUUUCAUCCAAUAAUUGGCUUUGUUUUUCUUAUACAAAGAGAAAAUAUGGCAGCUGUCCUAAACUCCAAGGUGAAUGCAUGAUGGGGAAAGCUCAUAUAUGCAUGCACUUUCCUUUGACAACAGUGCCUAGCUCUUAUUACAUUGAGAUAUUUAUGAAAUAAUUUAGAUUCCAUACGUGUAUAGUAGAUGAACUAGAAUCUUAAUUAGUAGGGUUUAGUUUCGCUAGAGUUUAUAUUAAGUAAUUUGCAGACUAACUCAAAGUGUUUGGAGAAUUUUCCUCCUGGGUCAAUAGACGAGGGAAUGGUGCUGCGCGCGCAUAGUCGCAUAUAUACUAUAUAUGCUUGUUCAUUGGAACAAGAUGUUUUUUCUUUUCAACACCUUCUUUUCUUCAGCAGGCUACUAUAAAUAUCUGUAAUGUUUGAUUAGCUUUCUAUGUCGUUUCGAUUCAAAAAAAGAGAUUUGUAGACUAACUCAAAGUGGGAGGAUCCUAGAUAAUUGGCAACUUAGAAAGAGCCAUAUAUAACUUGACAGUUAAUAAUACCCAAUGUCCUCAGAUUAACACUCAAUUUAUAUAGUCGAUAUCAUGUAUGUCGUUGUUGGUCCAAACCGAUCUAUUGCCGUUACUUGUGCAACUUGGAAUCUCAUCUUCUCAUCCAUUGAACGAGUGGUCUCAGAGUAACUCUCUAUCUUCUUCUCUACAUAUAAACGAGCGACUUGAUUAGCUAGCUAGAGAGCUACUUGCAUGUUCGCAUCUGCACGAUCACAUCUUAAACAGAGAAAUAUAAUUAAGAUGUUUGAAUAUUCAAUUCUAGGAGCACAAUAUCUAUAUGAAAUUAUAUGUGUACGUACGUAGUGCCACGUUAAUAUAAAAAAGAAUGAUUAAGGAACACUGUUGCAUGUGGGUGAUUCACUACUAGAUUAACAAAUUAGUCGAGAAAAUUGUUAAUUAGCUUAAUUAACUGGUUAAUUAUAGUAUAUUAGUCAUGGUCUCCAAAGAGCUACGUACUCAUCAGACACAUAUAUACCUAUUUGCAUGGAGCUAGGAAGCCUUGUGCGUCAGUUGGGACAUAUUUUGACACAUGCCCUUUUUGAAAGAAGAGAUCGAGUUUAAUCAACGAUACAUGUAGCUCAGUUUGGUACGAAUCAUAUGUAUAUAUAGCAGCUGCAUGCAUGUUAGCUUAUGCCAAACCUAGUAUGCAACUAUAUGCAUGGCAGUUGGUGCGAGAUGAUCGAGAAUUAAUGCUGGGCCGCCUCAUUCGGCAUGAGGAGAGUAUUAUUGCAAUUGGAAAGCAAGGAGAAGGGGAAAGGAGACCCAAUAUGAUAUGAUAUAUCUCUUGGGGCCUGGCCCAAAUUAACAAACGAAAGUGCGGCAAGAAAAGAAAGAGACGAGGAUGAGCAAGUGGGGCACUCUCGAAAGAGAGAAAGGAACAACUAGCCAGUGCGCGCUUGGUUUUGUGACUUGUGAGGAGGUUCCAAACGUACGUCCCCCAACACAGAGCACAAGUUAGUUCCAAUGUGACCUCCUAAUUAGCCACCCCUUUCCCUAUUCCUCUCUAGCUUGCCAUUUGUUUCUGCUUCAUUUGGUCGAUCGGUUUGAUAUCUUGAAUGUAUGAUAUAUGCUUAAUUAACAUGUUAAUCCUGUACAAGCACCAGUGAUAUAUGAUGAUCGAAUAUAUGCCAACGCCAACGGCCAACCCCUUGAGGAGUUCAGGAGCAUUACUGAGACCUCGCUACAAAGCAGUGAUUCAUGAGCUAUAUAUAUGUAUACCUGCAGCGUCAUAAGAGGAAUGAAGUGGAGGUGGUGAUUUGAGUUAGAGAAGAACAAGGUUGGUACGACUGGUAUUGGCAGCAGCAGUGGCUUUUUGAGAGGAAAGGUUUCCCAGACACCGAAAGUGCGUGCAUGCUCUCUUCGCCAUCGUCCACUGCCACUACGAUUUUCUUCGUACUAAUAUCCCCUUCCAUCCUCUCUAUCUUAUGAAAUAAUAUGAAAAGUUGGAAGUUGAAAACUAACUCUUGAAAUUUUAAUGAAAGAUGUGAAAAGAACAGCUAACUACGUUAGAAAGAGACAUGAAAAGAUAUGAACAAGGAGAUGUCACCCCCCCACCCUAGCCUCAUUACUGUCUUUAUCAUCUCUUCGAUUCUAACGUACUUAUUGUGGUUCUUUUUUUUUUUGGAGUCCUCCUUCCUUAAAGUUACUUGCAUGGUUAAAU
Molecule: long non-coding RNA, 2658 nt
Filed under: Fragaria vesca (wild strawberry)
Lineage: Eukaryota; Viridiplantae; Streptophyta; Magnoliopsida; Rosales; Rosaceae
Description: long non-coding RNA (FVES_LNC002609)
Source: RNAcentral